This 301-nucleotide ribosomal RNA is filed under the name uncultured bacterium. RNAcentral describes it as "partial 16S ribosomal RNA". It matches the Rfam family "Bacterial small subunit ribosomal RNA", at positions 509 to 809 of the family's 1533-position model. The record is from RNAcentral.
CAGUCGCCGCGGUAAUACAGAGGAUGCAAGCGUUAUCCGGAAUGAUUGGGCGUAAAGCGUCUGUAGGUGGCUUUUCAAGUCCGCCGUCAAAUCCCAGGGCUCAACCCUGGACAGGCGGUGGAAACUACCAAGCUGGAGUACGGUAGGGGCAGAGGGAAUUUCCGGUGGAGCGGUAAAAUGCGUUGAGAUCGGAAGGAACACCAACGGCGAAAGCACUCUGCUGGGCCGACACUGACACUGAGAGACGAAAGCUAGGGGAGCAAAUGGGAUUAGAUACCCCCGUAGUCCCUGUCUCUUAUAA